UACGUAGGGCGCGAGCGUUGUCCGGAAUUAUUGGGCGUAAAGAGCUCGUAGGCGGCUGGUCGCGUCUGCCGUGAAAGCCCGCGGCUUAACCGUGGGUCUGCGGUGGAUACGGGCCGGCUAGAGGCAGGCAGGGGCAAGUGGAAUUCCUGGUGUAGCGGUGAAAUGCGCAGAUAUCAGGAGGAACACCGGUGGCGAAGGCGGCUUGCUGGGCCUGUCCUGACGCUGAGGAGCGAAAGCGUGGGGAGCGAAC
Molecule: ribosomal RNA, 250 nt
Filed under: uncultured bacterium
Lineage: Bacteria
Description: partial 16S ribosomal RNA
Rfam family: Bacterial small subunit ribosomal RNA
Source: RNAcentral